RNAcentral lists this ribosomal RNA (345 nucleotides) under uncultured soil bacterium. Its description in RNAcentral is "bacterial SSU rRNA". It matches the Rfam family "Bacterial small subunit ribosomal RNA", at positions 26 to 376 of the family's 1533-position model. The record is from RNAcentral.
AGAUUGAACGCUGGCGGCAUGCUUUACACAUGCAAGUCGAACGGUAACAGGCCGCAAGGUGCUGACGAGUGGCGAACGGGUGAGUAAUGUAUCGGAACGUGCCCAGUCGUGGGGGAUAACGCAGCGAAAGCUGCGCUAAUACCGCAUACGAUCUAUGGAUGAAAGCGGGGGACCGUAAGGCCUCGCGCGAUUGGAGCGGCCGAUAUCAGAUUAGGUAGUUGGUGGGGUAAAGGCUCACCAAGCCAACGAUACUGUAGCUGGUCUGAGAGGACGACCAGCCACACUGGGACUGAGACACGGCCCAGACUCCUACGGGAGCAGCAGUGGGGAAUUUGGACAAGUGGG